GACGAACCGUGCGAACGUUGUUCGGAUUCACUGGGCUUAAAGGGCGCGUAGGCGGCUUGCCAAGUCAGGGGUGAAAUCUUUCGGCUCAACCGGAAAAGUGCUUCUGAUACUGGCGGGCUGGAGGAGGGUAGGGGCAGAUGGAACUUCCGGUGGAGCGGUGAAAUGCGUAGAUAUCGGAAGGAACGCCGGUGGCGAAGGCGGGUCUCUGGGCCGAUACUGACGCUGAGGAGCGAAAGCGUGGGGAGCGAACAGG
RNAcentral lists this ribosomal RNA (253 nucleotides) under uncultured bacterium. Its description in RNAcentral is "partial 16S ribosomal RNA". It matches the Rfam family "Bacterial small subunit ribosomal RNA", at positions 524 to 776 of the family's 1533-position model. The record is from RNAcentral.